ACAGCAAAAUCAAUUUGAAAUCUCCGGUUUGCGUACGAUCACCGAAGUUAAGCAACGUCGAGCCUGGACAUUACAAAGAUGGGAGACUGCUUGGGAAUACCGGGAGCUGUAAG
Molecule: non-coding RNA, 113 nt
Organism: Acanthosepion pharaonis
Lineage: Eukaryota; Metazoa; Mollusca; Cephalopoda; Sepiida; Sepiidae
Source: the annotation of a GenBank genome assembly